CUCCCGGUUGAUCCUGCCGGACCCGACUGCUAUCAGAGUGGGACUAAGCCAUGCGAGUCAACGUAGCAAUACGUGGCAUACGGCUCAGUAACACGUAGUCAACAUGCCCAGGGGACGAGGAUAACCUCGGGAAACUGAGGAUAAACCUCGAUAGGCCAUGAUUUCUGGAAUGAUUCUUGGCUCAAACCUAUAUGGCCCCUGGAUUGGACUGCGGCCGAUCAGGCUGUUGGUGAGGUAAUGGCCCACCAAACCUAUUACCGGUACGGGCUCUGAGAGGAGGAGCCCGGAGAUGGGCACUGAGACAAGGGCCCAGGCCCUAUGGGGCGCAGCAGGCGCGAAACCUCUGCAAUAGGCGAAAGCCUGACAGGGUUACUCUGAGUGACUUUCGCUAAGAAAGUCUUUUGGCACCUCUAAAAAGGGUGCAGAAUAAGGGGUGGGCAAGUCUGGUGUCAGCCGCCGCGGUAAUACCAGCACCCCGAGUGGUCGGGACGAUUAUUGGGCCUAAAGCAUCCGUAGCCGGUUCUGCAAGUCCCCCGUUAAAUCCAGCUGCUCAACAGAUGGGCCGCGGAGGAUACUACAGAGCUAGGAGGCAGGAGAGGCAAGCGGUACUCAGUGGGUAGGGGUAAAAUCCGUUGAUCCAUUGAAGACCACCAGUGGCGAAGGCGGCUUGCCAGAAUGCGCUCGACGGUGAGGGAUGAAAGCUGGGGGAGCAAACCGGAUUAGAUACCCGGGUAGUCCCAGCCGUAAACGAUGCAGACUCGGCGAUGGGUUGGCUUCGCGCUAACCCAGUGCCGCAGGGAAGCCGUUAAGUCUGCCGCCUGGGUAGUACGGUCGCAAGACUGAAACUUAAAGGAAUGGGCGGGGGAGCA
RNAcentral lists this ribosomal RNA (869 nucleotides) under uncultured archaeon. RNAcentral's name for it is "bacterial SSU rRNA". It matches the Rfam family "Archaeal small subunit ribosomal RNA", at positions 1 to 878 of the family's 1478-position model. The record is from RNAcentral.